CACGGGGGGAGCAAGCGUUGUUCGGAAUCACUGGGCGUAAAGGGCGUGUAGGCGGUCGGAUAAGUGAGAUGUGAAAUGCCCCGGCUCACCCGGGGACCUGCAUCUCAAACUGUCUGGCUAGAGUAUGGGAGAGGAUGAGGGAAUUCCUGGUGUAGCGGUGAAAUGCGUAGAUAUCAGGAGGAACACCGGUGGCGAAAGCGCUCAUCUGGCCCAAUACUGACGCUGAGGCGCGAAAGCUAGGGGAGCAAACGGG
RNAcentral lists this ribosomal RNA (253 nucleotides) under uncultured bacterium. RNAcentral's name for it is "partial 16S ribosomal RNA". It matches the Rfam family "Bacterial small subunit ribosomal RNA", at positions 524 to 776 of the family's 1533-position model. The record is from RNAcentral.